GUCAGCUAUGUGGACUCUAGCUGCCAAAGGCGCUUCUCCUUCUGAACAGAGCGCUUUGCUCAGCCAGUGUAGACAUGGCCUGAU
Molecule: microRNA precursor, 84 nt
Organism: Otolemur garnettii (small-eared galago)
Lineage: Eukaryota; Metazoa; Chordata; Mammalia; Primates; Galagidae
Product: microRNA 1251
Source: Ensembl